UACGUAGGUGGCAAGCGUUGUCCGGAUUUACUGGGCGUAAAGAGCGCGCAGGCGGUCGUUCAAGUCGCGUGUGAAAGCCCCCGGCUCAACUGGGGAGGGUCACGCGAUACUGAUCGACUCGAAGGCAGGAGAGGGUAGUGGAAUUCCCGGUGUAGUGGUGAAAUGCGUAGAGAUUGGGAAGAACAUCGGUGGCGAAAGCGCUCUACUGGACCUCAUCUGACACUCAGGGACGAAAGCUAGGGGAGCGAAUGGG
Molecule: ribosomal RNA, 253 nt
Filed under: uncultured bacterium
Lineage: Bacteria
Description: partial 16S ribosomal RNA
Rfam family: Bacterial small subunit ribosomal RNA
Source: RNAcentral